This 2792-nucleotide long non-coding RNA is filed under the name Panax ginseng (ginseng). RNAcentral describes it as "long non-coding RNA (PGIN_LNC012373)". Lineage: Eukaryota; Viridiplantae; Streptophyta; Magnoliopsida; Apiales; Araliaceae. The record is from RNAcentral.
AAAAAGAAGAAGGUGAAUUCUCCGAUGGAAGUGGAGAUGGAGAGAACCAUGCGCGUGAGACAUACGCUUGAAUAUAGAGCAGUCAAAACCCCUUGCGUCAUAUUAUAGCUAGCUCUCUCUGUAAGUAGCUUUUUCUCUCAGUUUUUUUGUUCCCAAUAUUCAAUUUUUAAAUCUAUUCCCUUAUUUAUUUAUUUAUUCAAUGUUUCAAUAAUUGAUGUUCCACGGCGAAUUGUAUGCAUGGUCAUGAUCAUCCUGUUGGAUAGACAUUUGAUUCAAAACAAGUUUAGGGUUUCAAAUUUAUAUUUUAAUGAGAAAAUGAGUUUUUAAAAUUUUGAUUGUAAGGAGAAAAUGAUUUGUAAUCUACUGUCAUUUUUAUGAAAGCAUGUUUUAAUUAGUUGGUUCUUGUGUGUAUUAUAUGAGGUGAAUUGAUUUAUUUUUGGAAUUUAAAAAUCCAUUGUUUAAUUUGGAUUUUGAGAGGGUGCUAUAAUCAUAUAAUAUUAAAGUGGUCCAACAAUUAUAAUUUGAAGUAGAUUUGUUUAGUGUAUUAUUUACUUUGAGGUAAAAAACAUUAUCAGGUGUCAAAUCGGGGUUUAUUAAAAUUGGAAUGUUAUAAGUUAGCUAAAGUUAAAGAAUAUGUUCAUAGUGAGGAUCUAUCAAGUUUUGUUUUUUAUGUUAUUUAAUAGGUUAUAAAAUGCCUUACGGAAAAUUGAAUCACUUGGCCACUUGAGGCUGUUGACCUCUUUAUAUGCCUAUUAAUGGAAAGUAUUGGAAAUGUUAUAAGUUAGCUAAAGUUAAAAGAAUAUGUUCAUAGUGAGGAUAUAUCAAGUUUUUUUUUUUGAUGUUAUUUAAUAGGUUAUAAGAAUGCCUUAGGGAAAAUUGAAUCACUUGGGCAUUUGAGACUGUUGACCUCUUUAUAUGCCUAUUAGUGGAAAGUAUAAUGCCAAUGUUUCAAGCAUAAUCUAGGGAACUUCUGAUUUUAGUAUUAGCAUUUUUAUUUAGCUUUGGGCAAAAAGCUAAAACCAAAUUAUAUUAUUUACUCCUCAACUAGAUUCUAUAUGUUGUGAUAAAUUCUUGCCCAAGGUUCUCAUUAUAGUAUUCCAAUUUUCAAAGCAAAUAAUAUUAUCCAUUUCCUUGUAUUGUAACCAAGAUUUACUGACUGUGAAGAUUAAAGUAGUUUAUGAUGCAUUUUAAUAGAUGCAUGUAAUUUGAUUAAGAGAUGAAAAAAAAACUUUUAACAAAAUAUAUAGAACCCCUAUAUGGGUCUAAAAUCUAUACUUUUAAGGACUGCCAGAGGCAGAGUAAGCCAGCUUAAGGGAAUCUUCGUGCAGUUUAAUUUCUGUGAACAUUUCUACUGAUAUCAUUGAAAAGCAAUGCAUUUACUGCCUGAGUUAACAUAAUCUAAAGAAUUGUUUUACCGUAUUUUUAUGAGAUGGAGAGCUCUUGUUAUAAAAGAAGCUAAAUAGAACUUUCUCAUGACUAUAUGAGAGUAAAUUUACUAUAAAAUUGUAUUUGUUUGAGUUUUUUUAUUAUGAAUUUCUUCUUUGUUUGAAAUACAAAACUAAGUUGUGCGGCCUGUAAAUGUAUCACUGUUAAAGUUGUAGAUAACUAAUAUCAAUAAUUAUUAAAGAUCAUGUCAUAUAGCUUUAUCUUUGAGAGUUCUAAAUCUAGGUCCACUAUACACUCAUGUAAAGGAUCCAAAGUUCCGGUAAAAAGAAAACAAAAAAACAGAGAGAUCCCACAGCAUUAAUAACAUUAUCCGGUUCUAAUUUUUUUCAGUUUCCUUGACAAGCGGAAAAAUCUAUUCACUGGAUGGUGAUGACAAUGAUCUCUGUAAAGUCCUCUAGUCUUAUCUGUAAUAUUAUCAUUAGCAUAGUUUGGAAUGAAGGUAGGAAUUCAGUCUAAUGUGACAUACAAGGAAGGUCAAAGUAGGGUGAUAUAUUACUCCCAGCUGCAUUGCAGAUUUGUGGCGAUGUUGCUCCAAUUUGGUUGGUAAAAGGAAGAAUAUAUCAAUUUUUGAGUGCCAUGCUGCGACUUAUUAAAAUAAAUCAGAAAAAAAGAAUAAUUAUUGCUGUGGUUAGCAGGAGAAAACUAGCAUGUCAUGUUUAUGGAAACAACACACCAGUUAAGACCUAAUUUAAGUACAUAGUUCAGAAUGAAACUAUUCAAGUGCUUAACUAUUAUAUGCUAAUUUACUUAAAAAUAUUGUGUGAUCAACUUCCAUAAUGUUACGAAGAAGAUUGAAAAACAUUGGACUCUAAAGUUUACUUGUAGUAUUUCAGAAGAAAAAGCUAAACAACACGACUUCAUAAAUUAUAGUUUUCCAGGACAGAGAGAAGAGAGAUUGACUCAAUACAUUAAACAAGUCUCAGCUAGUGCAUUUUCUAUAUCUUGCUGCAUGCAUAUUCGCUGGUUACUUCUUCAGUGUGUCUAUGUAUCUGCCCUCCAUGAUAUCAUUACCUGAGAUGUACUCAAGAAAACCAUUGAAGCUGCCUUCUUUGUAUGAAAUGGGGUGCUGGUCGUCCACAAGCUCUGGUGCAGGUACUACCUUUUUUUCUAAAGCUAGGCUGUGAAGACUAGAAAUGGAAAUACGUUUCUUCACUGAGUUGACAGUUGCUCGAUGAAAAACACUCUUGUAUCGACCAUUGCUCAUUAUUUCCAUUUGAUCUCCCAGAUGGACUAUUAGAGCUCCUUCAAUUAGCGGAACAGAAUGCCACUUCUUAUCAUGAUCCAUGAUUUCUAGUCCCUGCUGGCUUUGAUUUAUGAUAGUGAGCAAUCCAAAAUCUGAGUGUAGU